GAUGUAGCCAAGUGGAUCAAGGCAGUGGAUUG
RNAcentral lists this transfer RNA (32 nucleotides) under Fulcaldea laurifolia. RNAcentral's name for it is "partial tRNA-His". The record is from RNAcentral. Lineage: Eukaryota; Viridiplantae; Streptophyta; Magnoliopsida; Asterales; Asteraceae.